AGUGAACGCUGGCGGUAGGCCUAACACAUGCAAGUCGAACGGCAGCACAGUAAGAGCUUGCUCUUACGGGUGGCGAGUGGCGGACGGGUGAGGAAUACAUCGGAAUCUACUUUUUCGUGGGGGAUAACGUAGGGAAACUUACGCUAAUACCGCAUACGACCUACGGGUGAAAGCAGGGGAUCUUCGGACCUUGCGCGAUUGAAUGAGCCGAUGUCGGAUUAGCUAGUUGGCGGGGUAAAGGCCCACCAAGGCGACGAUCCGUAGCUGGUCUGAGAGGAUGAUCAGCCACACUGGAACUGAGACACGGUCCAGACUCCUACGGGAGGCAGCAGUGGGGAAUAUUGGACAAUGGGGGCAAGCCUGAUCCAGCCAUACCGCGUGGGUGAAGAAGGCCUUCGGGUUGUAAAGCCCUUUUGUUGGGAAAGAAAAGCAGCAGGUUAAUACCCAGCUGUUCUGACGGUACCCAAAGAAUAAGCACCGGCUAACUUCGUG
This 492-nucleotide ribosomal RNA is filed under the name uncultured bacterium. RNAcentral's name for it is "partial 16S ribosomal RNA". It matches the Rfam family "Bacterial small subunit ribosomal RNA", at positions 29 to 507 of the family's 1533-position model. The record is from RNAcentral.